This 364-nucleotide ribosomal RNA is filed under the name uncultured soil bacterium. Its description in RNAcentral is "bacterial SSU rRNA". It matches the Rfam family "Bacterial small subunit ribosomal RNA", at positions 26 to 380 of the family's 1533-position model. The record is from RNAcentral.
AGAUUGAACGCUGGCGGCAUGCCUUACACAUGCAAGUCGAACGGCAGCACGGGAGCAAUCCUGGUGGCGAGUGGCGAACGGGUGAGUAAUAUAUCGGAACGUGCCCAGUCGUGGGGGAUAACGCAGCGAAAGCUGUGCUAAUACCGCAUACGAUCUAUGGAUGAAAGCGGGGGAUCGCAAGACCUCGCGCGAUUGGAGCCGGCCGAUAUCAGAUUAGCUAGUUGGUAGGGGUAAAGCCUACCAAGGCGACGAUCUGUAGCUGGUCUGAGAGGACGACCAGCCACACUGGAACUGACGACACGGUCCAGACCUCCGUACGGGAGGCAGACGAGGUGGGGUAAUUUUUGGACAAGUGGGCGACGAA